This 1311-nucleotide long non-coding RNA is filed under the name Coturnix japonica (Japanese quail). Its description in RNAcentral is "lncRNA (ENSCJPG00005016796.1)". The record is from RNAcentral. Lineage: Eukaryota; Metazoa; Chordata; Aves; Galliformes; Phasianidae.
GUGGCUGCUGGCUGGGUCGCAGCCUGCAUUUCAACCCUUCUGGGCGAAAAGUGCUUCCUACUCAUCUGGCGCACGUGACGGUGCUUCGCUGUCUAUAUCUGUCCACAUGACGUGAGCAGCACACUCCCCUGCAAACCACCCACAGAUCACUCUGGAGCCGAAAAGCCCAGUUGCAGAGACUGCAAAGAAAAAUGAAAAGCCCCACAUUUGAAACACAGGAACAGACGAUACGCGGAAAAUUACUUACACUGAGCUGUGGGAAUAAUCAAACAAAGAGCGUAAACUUCAAAGGCAGCACUUCAUAUCCUUAAAAUUGAGGAGGCUGAGGAGAGGAAGAAGUGAGCGUGAGCCAUUAAUUCUGCUCUGUGAUUGCCCAUGCGUACACAUGACGUGGGUUCCCCAGCUUCCUGCAGCCCAACAUCUGUAACCGCAGCCCGGAUGCCCCCCCCUGCCCCACUUGUGUAAUCUGUGCCCCAUGAAGGCUGCUCGUCCCCUUCUGCAAGCCCUCAUCAUCUUGUGGGCCAACAGCACUUUGAACUGGGGCGAGGGGGAAAGUAAUACAUAAACUUUAAAGGUAGCUCAUCUACCGCGUGCAAUUUGUAUUUUACACCUCGUGAAUUUUAACUGCUGCAGUUGUAACUUCCCAUUAACCCCCUGUGUGUCGGCACUCCUGCCCUGACCCUCGGAGGGCAGCAGCAGCAGGGAGCUGCAGCAUGGCUCUCCUCACAUCCCACAGCGAUGGAGCAGGAUUUUCUCCCAUUUCCUAAAAGAUCUCAGUCACUUGUGAGAGCUCUUCCCUUCACGUGCAUUCAGGCUGAGUAUUAGAAGAGCAAAUGCCCUCCAGAUACUGCUAAAUGGCUGCUUAAAAAUGAAACAGCAAACAUAAAAGCACAGAUGACUGCAGAGCAGAGUUAAAAAUCAAAGCACUACUGGCAAGCCUUGCACACCGGACGGCUGCACAGUUGAUCUGCAGCCAUUAUUUAUGCUGCCGUUAAAAAUUGUUAUUGGGACUCUAAAAAAGCCUCCUCCAAACACGCAGUGAAAUCAGAGGGAUGCUGGCUGCUAUGGCAUGCAGCCACACAUGGGGUGAGCCCUGGGACCUCUGCUCCGUAGCGGCAUUUCAUUACGGGCACUGAGACUAUUAAACCAAUUUCCGAGCGCUCGGGUGUGAGAUGUUUGUGGGAUUUCCCCAGCUGAACAAAUCAGCUUAGAAGUCUGCAAUUCAUUAAGCAAGAUAUCAGGAGAAAGCCGCGUAUGCUCUCCUUUUGCUGUGCCUGCGGUCCCUAACUUCCAUCUCCCUCAGCACAGCGG